GGUCCAAUGGUCUAGCUGGUUAUGACGCCGCCUCGACAUGGCGGAGAUCCCAGGUUCGAAUCCUGGUUGGACCA
Molecule: transfer RNA, 74 nt
Filed under: Candidatus Pacearchaeota archaeon
Lineage: Archaea; Nanobdellati
Description: tRNA-Val
Rfam family: tRNA
About the family: Transfer RNA (tRNA) molecules are approximately 80 nucleotides in length. Their secondary structure includes four short double-helical elements and three loops (D, anti-codon, and T loops).
Source: RNAcentral